This is a long non-coding RNA of Salvelinus fontinalis (brook trout), 1074 nucleotides long. RefSeq lists it as uncharacterized. The record is from RefSeq and is a predicted model, not a curated record. Lineage: Eukaryota; Metazoa; Chordata; Actinopteri; Salmoniformes; Salmonidae. The transcript has 5 exons.
CAGAACAGCCUAGACACUGAGUUAACAGGUAGGGCCUGGGGAGGGAGAGAUAGACAGAACAGCCUAGACAAUGAGUUAACAGGUAGGGCCUGGGGAGGGAGAGAUAGACAGAACAGCCUAGACACUGAGUUAACAGGUAGGGCCUGGGGAGGGAGACAUUGACAGAACAGCCUAGACACUGAGUUAACAGGUAGGGCCUGGGGAGGGAGAGAUAGACAGAACAGCCUAGACACUGAGCUAACAGGUAGGGCCUGGGGAGGGAGAGAUAGACAGAACAGCCUAGACACUGAGCUAACAGGUAGGGCCUGGGGAGGGGAGAGAUAGACAGAACAGCCUAGACACUGAGCUAACAGGUAGGGCCUGGGGAGGGGAGAGAUAGACAGAACAGCCUAGACACUGAGUUAACAGGUAGGGCCUGGGGAGGGGAGAGAUAGACAGAACAGCCUAGACACUGAGUUAACAGGUAGGGCCUGGGGAGGGAGAGAGAGACAGAACAGCCUAGACUGAGUUAACAGGUAGGGCCUGGGGGGGGAGAGAUAGACAGAACAGCCUAGAUACUGAGUUAACAGGUAGGGCCUGGGGAGGGAGAGAUAGACAGAACAGCCUAGACACUGAGUUAACAGGUAGGGCCUGGGGAGGGAGAGAUAGACAGAACAGCCUAGACACUGAGCUAACAGGUAGGGCCUGGGGAGGGAGAGAUAGACAGAACAGCCUAGACACUGAGCUAACAGGUAGGGCCUGGGGAGGGGAGAGAUAGACAGAACAGCCUAGACACUGAGCUAACAGGUAGGGCCUGGGGAGGGGAGAGAUAGACAGAACAGCCUAGACACUGAGUUAACAGGUAGGGCCUGGGGAGGGGAGAGAUAGACAGAACAGCCUAGACACUGAGCUAACAGGUAGGGCCUGGGGAGGGGAGAGAUAGACAGAACAGCCUAGACACUGAGUUAACAGGUAGGGCCUGGGGAGGGGAGAGAUAGACAGAACAGCCUAGACACUGAGUUAACAGGUAGGGCCUGGGGAGGGGAGAGAUACACAGAACAGCCUAGACACUGAGUUAACAGGUAGGGCCUGGGG